UACAGAGACUGCGAGCGUUAUUCGGAUUCACUGGGCGUAAAGGGUGCGCAGGCGGCCAAGUGUGUGAGGCGUGGAAGCCCGGGGCUUAACCCCGGAAUUGCACCUCAAACUACAUGGCUAGAGCAUUGGAGAGGGUAGCGGAAUUCACGGUGUAGCAGUGAAAUGCGUAGAUAUCGUGAGGAACACCAGAGGCGAAGGCGGCUACCUGGACAAUUGCUGACGCUCAGGCACGAAAGCGUGGGGAGCAAAAGGG
This 253-nucleotide ribosomal RNA is filed under the name uncultured bacterium. RNAcentral describes it as "partial 16S ribosomal RNA". It matches the Rfam family "Bacterial small subunit ribosomal RNA", at positions 524 to 776 of the family's 1533-position model. The record is from RNAcentral.